GCCGAAGUAGCUCAGUUGGUAGAGCAACUGAUUCGUAAUCAGUAGGUCGGAGGUUCGAUUCCUCUCUUCGGCACCA
Molecule: transfer RNA, 76 nt
Filed under: Candidatus Luteimonas excrementigallinarum
Lineage: Bacteria; Pseudomonadati; Pseudomonadota; Gammaproteobacteria; Lysobacterales; Lysobacteraceae
Description: tRNA-Thr
Rfam family: tRNA
About the family: Transfer RNA (tRNA) molecules are approximately 80 nucleotides in length. Their secondary structure includes four short double-helical elements and three loops (D, anti-codon, and T loops). Further hydrogen bonds mediate the characteristic L-shaped molecular structure. tRNAs have two regions of fundamental functional importance: the anti-codon, which is responsible for specific mRNA codon recognition, and the 3' end, to which the tRNAs corresponding amino acid is attached (by aminoacyl-tRNA synthetases). tRNAs cope with the degeneracy of the genetic code in two manners: having more than one tRNA (with a specific anti-codon) for a particular amino acid; and 'wobble' base-pairing, i.e. permitting non-standard base-pairing at the 3rd anti-codon position.
Source: RNAcentral